AAGGCACAUUAAGGAACUUGGUCUCUAGCUACAGAGCAAGGGUUUGCAGCAGAAGCGGUGACACGGAUCAGAUCUGCUCUCUGGCGGCAGAAAGGAGGCCGGACUGUGCAGGGGGGAGCGGGGCAAGGCUCUGGGCACCUGAGGCCUCUGCGGGCCUCCGCGGGCCUCCACGGCAGGUUCCGUUUGAAGAAGCCGACCUGCAGGAAGACCAGAGCUGAGUGAGCAGACAGUCCCUGGAGCACAGCUGGUCCCGGCAAAACAUGAAAGCACCCUUUAUGUUAAUAAACCACCGACACCUGGUUCCACUCCAGGGAUGGGCAAGAGCGCCUGCCACACCUGGUUCUUGGCAAAAUGCUAAAAA
Myotis lucifugus (little brown bat) is the source of this 361-nucleotide long non-coding RNA. RefSeq lists it as uncharacterized. The transcript has 2 exons. Lineage: Eukaryota; Metazoa; Chordata; Mammalia; Chiroptera; Vespertilionidae. The record is from RefSeq and is a predicted model, not a curated record.